AAUAGAUACCCUGGUAGUCCACGCCGUAAACGAUGAGUGCUAAGUGUUAGGGGGUUUCCGCCCCUUAGUGCUGCAGCUAACGCAUUAAGCACUCCGCCUGGGGAGUACGGUCGCAAGACUGAAACUCAAAGGAAUUGACGGGGGCCCGCACAAGCGGUGGAGCAUGUGGUUUAAUUCGAAGCAACGCGAAGAACCUUACCAGGUCUUGACAUCCCAUUGACCGCUAUGGAGACAUAGCUUUCCCUUCGGGGACAGUGGUGACAGGUGGUGCAUGGUUGUCGUCAGCUCGUGUCGUGAGAUGUUGGGUUAAGUCCCGCAACGAGCGCAACCCUUGUUCUUAGUUGCCAUCAUUUAGUUGGGCACUCUAAGGAGACUGCCGGUGACAAACCGGAGGAAGGUGGGGAUGACGUCAAAUCAUCAUGCCCCUUAUGACCUGGGCUACACACGUGCUACAAUGGACGGUACAAACGGUUGCCAACCCGGCGAGGGGGAGCUAAUCCGGAUAAAACCGGUUCUCAGUUCGGAUUGUAGGCUGCAACUCGCCUAC
This 547-nucleotide ribosomal RNA is filed under the name uncultured bacterium. Its description in RNAcentral is "bacterial SSU rRNA". It matches the Rfam family "Bacterial small subunit ribosomal RNA", at positions 777 to 1319 of the family's 1533-position model. The record is from RNAcentral.